GGUGAAACGAACAGGAACCCAUACACGGAGUGGAGUUGUUUGGACUCUGAAUAUAUUUGCCUCGAGAGAAUGUUACAAACGAGCAAGGCCGCGUCAAGACAAAGAGUAAUACAAGAGUACAGAAAAGUCUCGUAAUCACGGGAUGACAGUGAGAAAUAUAUUUGGGGCUAGUCAACUCAUGGGCGUCGCAGAUUUGACAAAAAGUGCAGUCAUUGCUUUCAUUGACCAACGAUUCGAAUGUUGGGGCAUGGUUAGAAACAGGAAGAUAAAAUAAAUUACUUCCGUGUUUUUAUCUAAAUAAGAGUUUGUGUUAAAUCGAGCCGAACCUAACGGCCAGCUUCCCCAUAAGGCCACCUCUGUACAGCAGCCACAUGUUAUCGUCCCAGUUGGGAGAUUUGCUCUUAUUUUAACCUCCCAACAAUGGCUACCUCUCCACAUUGGCCAGUAAACUCUGUACCCUGGGUGGCCGUUGUAGAAAGGUAUGACCGGCUGUAUAUGCAGGAUUCAACACUUUCAUUUAACCCGAAUUAGCCAACUUGACGGUCGUCACGCAGUACUUCCAGGAUUGCGUGAUAAACUCAAAGAAAGUCUCCGACAAAAUUUCACACAGAUCAACAAACGUCUGAAACAGAUGAAAUAAAAUCUUUAUUGCCUACUUUUAUAAUUCAAAUUCAUUGGCUUAAAAUAUUUACAUACACAUUACAGCAUCUUAAACCAUUAAGUCCUGUAAGGAAAUUUAUCGUGAAAAGUCGCAACAACAGUACAUAUAGUACCCGCAUCCAAAAAGACAACAUGCACGACCCCCGUUACUAUGUACAAAUCAAGGAAUCAACCCUCAGAGGAUAAUGAAGACAUGCUACGACACAAGUACAAGAUUUCUAAUACACUUAAAUAUGCAAGAUCCUCUUAACAGUAAAUUGUUUAAAAAUGGUCUCUUUAAAACUAAUUCUCGAUAAAAACAAGCACAGAAAGAUGAUUCAACAACCCAUAAGUUUCAUCUCAUUCGUAAUUUGAGAGUUCUUUUCUGUUUUAUCUUUUUUGUUCAAGGGAGUGGAGGGGGGGGGGNUGGGUAAACUACAGUAGGAAAAAUUGCUAACAUGAUCCGAGAGUCAACUAGACUUCUCUUUUAAUUUUAAUAUUUACAGGACUAAGAAAGAUUUUCACUGUGAAGUCCUGAUGCCAACAAAAAAAAAUCCUUACUUUCCUUCAUAAUUAUUUUUUAAGAAAAAGUUGGCAUGGGAAAAAUUUGAUCAUAUAUUAAGACACUAUCCUUUUGAUGAUCAGUUGAUUGAUUCUCCUGGCCUGAAUGCUUCACUUUGUAAUGAUGUUGUAAGGAGAAAUUGCAUGAUGAUCACUAAUCCAGUUGAACAUUUUGCAGUCACACCCUUGGUGUAGCCAAUGCCAAUUUUUGAAGAAA
Orbicella faveolata is the source of this 1417-nucleotide long non-coding RNA. NCBI's taxonomy places the organism in Eukaryota, Metazoa, Cnidaria, Anthozoa, Scleractinia, Merulinidae. The record is from RefSeq and is a predicted model, not a curated record.